CCUACGGGAGGCUGCAGUGGGGGAUUUUGCACAAUGGGCGCAAGCUUGAUGCAGCGACGCCGCGUGAGGGAUGAGGGCCUUCGGGUUGUAAACCUCUUUCGCUGGGUUGAAAGGCCAUGCUUUGGGUGUGGUUGAUUUGAACUGGUAAAGAAGUACCGGCUAACUACGUGCCAGCAGCCGCGGUAAUACGUAGGGUACUAGCGUUGUCCGGAUUUAUUGGGCGUAAAGGGCUUGUAGGUGGUUUGUCGCGUCUGUCGUGAAAUCCUGUGGCUUAACCAUGGGCUUGCGGUGGGUACGGGCAGGCUUGAGUGCGGUAGGGGAGACUGGAAUUCCUGGUGUAGCGGUGGAAUGCGCAGAUAUCAGGAGGAACACCGGUGGCGAAGGCGGGUCUCUGGGCCGUUACUGACGCUGAGGAGCGAAAGCGUGGGGAGCGAACAGGCUUAGAUACCCCAGUAGUC
This 458-nucleotide ribosomal RNA is filed under the name uncultured Actinomyces sp. RNAcentral describes it as "bacterial SSU rRNA". It matches the Rfam family "Bacterial small subunit ribosomal RNA", at positions 338 to 795 of the family's 1533-position model. The record is from RNAcentral. Lineage: Bacteria; Bacillati; Actinomycetota; Actinomycetes; Actinomycetales; Actinomycetaceae.